GUCCUUACCAGAAGCCUGCACUCUCUGAAGCACUGAGGCUGUCUUGAGCUAACUGAUCUGCUCUCUGGAUUCCAGGGACACCCACAGAGCCAGAGGUUGAAGGCACAGGCGUUGAUGUCUCCGACUGUUCUGACUCCAGAAAUUGGGUUGGUAACAUUGAAGAGACACUUCUCACCUGCCUGAAAUGCCCUACGUUAUCUUCUUCAAGUUGUAAGGGCUCUGGAACAGCCCUUGCAGUGCUCCCACAAAGGAAGAAAAUAACAGGGAUCUUCAUGGAGAAAUGACCCACGCGAGGGCCUGGACUCUCCAGCAGUUACAGCAGAAGAAAGUUUUUGAAGAAGAGUAGAGGAACUGAGAGCCCCGGCCAGGAAAGCAGGGUUGUGUGAAACGCUAUUUGAUCCUAUGUGCUCCCUGCCCCAAUCUAGCAGCUAGUGAAUGACAGCUGACCAAGUAUAAAUGCCAGGACUAUAGAACUGUGAUAAAGGGUUUGUCCAAGGAAAGGGGCUUUUACUAUUUUUGUUUUCACAGAGGAAAUGGCUAUUUUUCAUCUAAAGUUUCUGAAAGGCAGCAGGGAGCUUCUGGAGGGUGAGUUACCUGCUCUGCACAGGGAGGCUGAGGCCAAGGCUUGUGUGGUGGAUCUGCUGCCACCAAGUGGUGAGGGAGGGAGCCUGGGAGAGUCUCAGUCUUUCUGGGCUUCAGUUUCCUCAUCGGUAAGGUAGGGGCUUAUUGUACCUCUCUGAGGUCCCUUCCUGCUCUGUUUUCUCUGAGUCUCUGAGGAAUUGAGAUGGUUUUCAAUGCUGCCUGGGACCUUCAGCUGAGACCUGACUCUGUGUGUCUCCUGCAGGAGCCUGAGCCGAGUCUACACGCUGGAAUCCCAGAGCUGCGGGAACAGGUGGAAGAAAGAAAGUCAGCAGGUUUAGGGGAUGAGAAUAAUCCACAAAGGACAAGCCAUUGGGAGCCUUGGGAGGAGCCUGAAUCACUGAUGGAAUUGGACAGUGCAUGGAGAUGAUUGAGCAGGACAAGGGUAAGUGCAGGGGCAUGGCCAGGUCAUACUGGGAGACAAUGAGCAGCACUGAUGGGGACAGACAAAGAUAAAGUCAAAAGUGUGUGCUUCAGUGUCAAAAACUCAAACCGAUAACUAAUUUGCUUUUAUAAGUAAUAAGUAUUUUUCUACCUACAUGAGAAUUUAAUCUCAAAACAGAAAUCAUAAAAAUAGUAAGCCCAGGGCAUAAGACCUAAACCAUAGCUCAUAUUUAUUCUUUCUUUCUUUCUUUUUUAGGUUAGGCUGAUUUAUAAGUGCUGCUCUGGGCAGUUACAGAGUUUGUUUACAAUGAGGAGUUAUUUGACUUUGAACACACUGUACAUGGCAAUUAGAAGUCAUCAUGGCAAGAGAAAGCCACAGCUGACCUGCCUCAGCCCACACAAGAACCAGAAAAUGGCAGGGGAAGGAAGGAAUAAAGGUGGGUUUUAUUUCUUACUACCAAUGAAAAAAAAAUUCCUUGGCAGUCUUAACAAAAAGUCAUUGCUGUCGGAGGUUUG
This 1539-nucleotide long non-coding RNA is filed under the name Aotus nancymaae (Ma's night monkey). RNAcentral's name for it is "lncRNA (ENSANAG00000038751.1)". Lineage: Eukaryota; Metazoa; Chordata; Mammalia; Primates; Aotidae. The record is from RNAcentral.